CAGAAAUAUUAUUCAUCUAAAUACGUGCAGAUUUUCUUAGAUUUAACUCCUAUAUAAGCUUUAGAGAUGCUUGAAAUGUACAUGCCAUCAAUGGACGGUAAGAUUAAACGUUUGAAUUUGCUUAUUAUUAUUUAAGAAAAAUAAAAUAAAAUAAACAGAAGCCCUUCUUUGCUUUCUAUCCGUCAAACAAGAAAAAAAUCAAAAUUUAAGCAUAUACUCGAAGGAAAAAGGAUUUGGAUGCGGAAGAAGCACAUAUCGCCGAGGAAUUCUCAAUUAUUCAGUGAUGUGAGAUUUGACCAUGCAUUCCAUCUUUUGUCAAAUUUAGCACCCAACCAAGAGCAAUGAUAGCCGUAGUGGGUCCAAGGACCCGGGGCUCCACCAUGUACUGUCGGUUUGAAAUCUCUUCUAACUAUAUCAAAAUAUAUAUCAAAAUUACAUCAGAUCCAAGUCUAAAGUCUCCACUGAAUGAAUUCCAAGGCAACCACAGUAUGAUUCUUGGAUUUCCUGUGCUAUAUAUCAGAAACAAAGUGCACCCAUCUUUGUUUGCAACUCACUGGGAUGUUAGGCAAUUUCCUGUGCAGGCAUGUCGAUAAAUUUCGAUGUCCUAUCGAGCUCUGUGGUUUCAGGCAACGCUAUACCAGACAAGUUCGAACUGUGAAUGUUUAUUCGCAUCAAACAGCGUGAGAUGUUAGAUGUUUCAAGAGUAGGCAGGCUCUAUUGGGCACCGUAAACGUGAAGAUUCUCUGCCCUCGACAACGGGUUUUUCUUUCAAGAAUCUUAGCUGUCCACAGCACCCACCUAAGAAUUUGAUCCCGUUACGUGUAAUGUCGACACCGAAAGUCUGAAUCCCUUUGAGCUGGGCUUAUUCUCAGAAGUCGACUCUAAUUUCGAAGUCAGCCAGUCCAGGCAUAUAAUAUUUUGAUACGAGGUCGCUCUUGGGCCUAUGUGAUUUCUCUCUCUCAUUUACCUAGAGACUCUCUGGCCCAAGUAUAGUUAAAUUAAAUUUUUCGGAAGGGAAGACUAUACAAGUUGAACUUUGAAGCCGAGGCCAUGGCAUAAUCGAUUUAAAAGAGGUGAUGCUGUAUCUCUUAAAUCGUUAUAUAAACGAGUAUAGUUCUGUCAAAUCCUGUUUUUUUUCGCAGGAACUCGAAUAAAUGGAUCGAAUUUGCUGU
Populus trichocarpa (black cottonwood) is the source of this 1172-nucleotide long non-coding RNA. RefSeq lists it as uncharacterized. The record is from RefSeq and is a predicted model, not a curated record. NCBI's taxonomy places the organism in Eukaryota, Viridiplantae, Streptophyta, Magnoliopsida, Malpighiales, Salicaceae. The transcript is spliced from 2 exons.